RNAcentral lists this ribosomal RNA (497 nucleotides) under uncultured bacterium. RNAcentral's name for it is "partial 16S ribosomal RNA". It matches the Rfam family "Bacterial small subunit ribosomal RNA", at positions 28 to 507 of the family's 1533-position model. The record is from RNAcentral.
GAUGAACGCUGGCGGCGUGCCUAAUACAUGCAAGUCGAGCGAACGGACGAGAAGCUUGCUUCUCUGAUGUUAGCGGCGGACGGGUGAGUAACACGUGGAUAGCCUACCUAUAAGACUGGGAUAACUUCGGGAAACCGUAGCUAAUACCGGAUAAUAUUUUGAACCGCAUGGUUCAAAAGUGAAAGACGGUCUUGCUGUCACUUAUAGAUGGAUCCGCGCUGCAUUAGCUAGUUGGUAAGGUAACGGCUUACCAAGGCAACGAUGCAUAGCCGACCUGAGAGGGUGAUCGGCCACACUGGAACUGAGACACGGUCCAGACUCCUACGGGAGGCAGCAGUAGGGAAUCUUCCGCAAUGGGCGAAAGCCUGACGGAGCAACGCCGCGUGAGUGAUGAAGGUCUUCGGAUCGUAAAACUCUGUUAUUAGGGAAGAACAUAUGUGUAAGUAACUGUGCACAUCUUGACGGUACCUAAUCAGAAAGCCACGGCUAACUACGCG